This 253-nucleotide ribosomal RNA is filed under the name uncultured bacterium. Its description in RNAcentral is "partial 16S ribosomal RNA". It matches the Rfam family "Bacterial small subunit ribosomal RNA", at positions 524 to 776 of the family's 1533-position model. The record is from RNAcentral.
UACGGGGGGAGCAAGCGUUGUUCGGAUUUACUGGGCGUAAAGGGCGCGUAGGCGGCCGUUUGCGUCGGAUGUGAAAGCCCGGGGCUCAACCUCGGAACGGCAUUCGAUACGGGACGGCUGGAGACCGGGAGAGGAGAGUGGAAUAGCCAGUGUAGAGGUGAAAUUCGUAGAUAUUGGCUGGAACACCGGUGGCGAAGGCGGCUCACUGGCCCGGUACUGACGCUGAGGUGCGAAAGCGUGGGGAGCAAACAGG